AUGACACACUUUGGAGAUAUUAUCAACGCUAUAGGAGAUUUGGGGCCAUUUCAAAAAUGGCUGCUGCUGAUGCUCAGCCUUGCAAACUUUCUAACGGCUUUUCCCAUGUUUGGCCAAGUGUUCAUGGUUCUGGAUGUGCCUCAUCACUGUAAGACAAGCUGGAUCUAUGCCAUUAGCCCAAACCUGACUGAGGAACAGCUGCUGAACCUAACUAUCCCUAGGAACACACAGGGAUCGUAUGAAGAAUGCCUUAUGUACACUCCUGUGAACUGGGAUAUUGACUCCGUCGUAGAAUACGGCCUUAAUGUCACUAAGAAGUGCCAAGAGGGGUGGGUCUAUUCUUCAGAACAGAUCCCAACGUUGGUGACUCAGUUUGACCUGGUAUGUGACCGAAAAGAGCUAAAUGACAUCUCCCAAUCCAUUUACAUGCUGGGACUUCUCCUUGGAGCUGUGGUCUUUGGUUCCUUAAGUGACAGGAUUGGGCGGCGUCCCAUCAUUUUGCUUUCCAUGCUUGUAAUGGGGGCAUUUGGUGUUGGAGCAGCUUUUGUGCCAAAUUUCUAUGUCUACGUCAUCUUGAGAUGUCUUGUGGGUGCUGCUGUAUCUGGAAUCUUUAUAGGCAUCCUGGCUUUAGGUACUGAAUGGGUUGGAGUCCCCUACCGGUCACAUGCAGUAAUUGUUACCCACUGCUGCUUUUCCAUUGGACAGAUGGUUUUGGCUGGCUUAGCUUAUGGCGUUCGCAACUGGAGGUUGCUGCAGAUUGCUGGAUCUGCCCCUGUAUUUUGCCUUUUCUUUUACAUAUGGGUCCUUCCAGAAUCUGCUCGGUGGCUCAUGACAAAAGAGAAGGUAAAGGAAGCCAAAAACCUACUUCAAAAGGCAGCAUCUGUGAAUAGACGGACCAUCUCUCCAGAACUGCUUGAUCAGCUGACGCCUGAGAAGAAGGUUAAGUCUGGAAAUAUUCUGUACCUCUUCCUGAAGAAGCGCCUGAGGAAAGUGACUUUAGUUAUGGCUUAUGCCUGGUUUGUGAACAGCCUGGUGUACUAUGGCCUCAGCCUUAACGUGGGGAGUUUUGGCUUGGACAUUUACCUGACGCAGCUUGUGUUCGGGGCUGUUGAAAUACCAGCUCGCUUCGGCUGUAUCUUCCUGCUGCAGUGGUUUGGGAGGAAGAAAUGCCAGGGCUGCUUUCUGCUCCUGGGCGGAGCCAUGUGUCUCAUCAUCACCUGCAUCCCAAAAGAUUUGCCGGUGGUGGUCACGACGAUGGCGGUGAUAGGGAAGUUUGCCAUCGCGGCCUCUUUUUCUGUCUCCUAUGUGUAUGCCGCAGAGCUGUUCCCCACCAUCAUCAGGCAGACUGGUGUGGGGUUGUGUUCAAUGUCAUCCAGAGUGGGUGGCAUCAUCUCCCCUCUGAUUAGUCUAUUGGACAAGUACCAUCCUGCUAUUCCCAUGGUGAUAUUUGGAAGCACUCCAGUGACUGCAGGAAUCCUCUGCUUCUUGCUUCCAGAGACGCGUGGCAAAGAGCUUCAGGAUCACACGGAGGAAGCUAAGGAGAGCCAGUGAAUUAUGUUUUCCAACCCCAAACCCCAAAGAAAGCAUUAUAAUUGAAAACCAAGAGAAUGCCCUUGUGGUGUGGACACGUUCAUUCAGAGGAGAUGCACGGAGUGUUACGCACGGCCUGAUCCAGCCUCUUUGAAGUCUACUGGACUUUUGCUAUUUUCUGCAGUGCAAGUGGGAUCAGACCAUCAAGGCCAGGGGAUGACUUUACUCACUGCUGAAAUGCAGUCACCUCUGGGGUGGAAUACAGCAGCAAUUUAACAGCACGCAGCAACACUACACAAGAAUGUAGGGAUGGGCGUGAACAAUAUCACAGGCUCCUGAAGCUGCAAGAGUACUGUAGAUGCUUAACAUAGGCACUGUACUUGGAGAAGGUUAUUAAAUAUAGAGGAUAUAGAAUAAUGUGUGUGUGUGUAUAUAUAUAUUUGAGUGUCUGCGUGUAUAUAAUGUACAUACAAUAUAUGUGUGUGUACAUGCAUGUGUAAUAUAACACAUAACCCUUCUACCAGGGGCUUAUAUGUGUGUGUGUGUGUGUGUAUAUGUAUGUGUGUGUGUGUGUGUAUAUAUAUAUAUAUAUAUAUAUAUGGUAAAUUAA
This is an RNA transcript of Mauremys mutica (yellowpond turtle), 2140 nucleotides long. It is a transcript of the gene named solute carrier family 22 member 13-like, with no coding region annotated. The record is from RefSeq and is a predicted model, not a curated record. Lineage: Eukaryota; Metazoa; Chordata; Testudines; Geoemydidae. The transcript is spliced from 11 exons.